UACGUAGGGGGCAAGCGUUGUCCGGAAUCAUUGGGCGUAAAGAGCGUGUAGGCGGUCCGGUCAGUCGGUUGUGAAAGUCAAGGGCUCAACCCUUGAAUGCCGGCCGAUACUGCCGGGCUAGAGUCCGGAAGAGGUGAGUGGAAUUCCUGGUGUAGCGGUGAAAUGCGCAGAUAUCAGGAGGAACACCAAUGGCGAAGGCAGCUCACUGGGACGGUAUUGACGCUGAGACGCGAAAGCGUGGGGAGCAAACAGG
This 253-nucleotide ribosomal RNA is filed under the name uncultured bacterium. RNAcentral's name for it is "partial 16S ribosomal RNA". It matches the Rfam family "Bacterial small subunit ribosomal RNA", at positions 524 to 776 of the family's 1533-position model. The record is from RNAcentral.